This 63-nucleotide transfer RNA is filed under the name Dipodomys ordii (Ord's kangaroo rat). It matches the Rfam family "tRNA", at positions 1 to 62 of the family's 71-position model. Rfam says of the family: Transfer RNA (tRNA) molecules are approximately 80 nucleotides in length. Their secondary structure includes four short double-helical elements and three loops (D, anti-codon, and T loops). Lineage: Eukaryota; Metazoa; Chordata; Mammalia; Rodentia; Heteromyidae. The record is from Rfam by way of RNAcentral.
GGGAAUUUGGCUCAGUGGUAGAGUGCUUGCCUUGCAUGCAUGAGUCCCUGGGUUCAAUUCCCC